UAACAAAUAGCUUAUUUAUUUAAAGCAUAGUACUGAAGAUACUAAUAAGGUUUUUUGUCCUUUGUUAA
This 68-nucleotide transfer RNA is filed under the name Radix sp. MOTU3. Its description in RNAcentral is "tRNA-Phe". Lineage: Eukaryota; Metazoa; Mollusca; Gastropoda; Lymnaeidae. RNAcentral also lists the same sequence under 1 other name. The record is from RNAcentral.